AUUGAACGCUGGCGGCAUGCCUUACACAUGCAAGUCGAACGGCAGCACGGGUGCUUGCACCUGGUGGCGAGUGGCGAACGGGUGAGUAAUACAUCGGAACAUGUCCUGUAGUGGGGGAUAGCCCGGCGAAAGCCGGAUUAAUACCGCAUACGAUCCACGGAUGAAAGCGGGGGACCUUCGGGCCUCGCGCUAUAGGGUUGGCCGAUGGCUGAUUAGCUAGUUGGUGGGGUAAAGGCCUACCAAGGCGACGGUCAGUAGCUGGUCUGAGAGGACGACCAGCCACACUGGGACUGAGACACGGCCCAGACUCCUACGGGAGGCAGCAGUGGGGAAUUUUGGACAAUGGGCGAAAGCCUGAUCCAGCAAUGCCGCGUGUGUGAAGAAGGCCUUCGGGUUGUAAAGCACUUUUGUCCGGAAAGAAAUCCUUGACUCUAAUACAGUCGGGGGAUGACGGUACCGGAAGAAUAAGCACCGGCUAACUACGUG
Molecule: ribosomal RNA, 486 nt
Filed under: uncultured bacterium
Lineage: Bacteria
Description: partial 16S ribosomal RNA
Rfam family: Bacterial small subunit ribosomal RNA
Source: RNAcentral